Molecule: ribosomal RNA, 1399 nt
Filed under: Glutamicibacter mysorens NBRC 103060
Lineage: Bacteria; Bacillati; Actinomycetota; Actinomycetes; Micrococcales; Micrococcaceae
Description: bacterial LSU rRNA
Rfam family: Bacterial large subunit ribosomal RNA
Source: RNAcentral
UUCUGAGACCUGAUAGGCGCCCCGUUUUCGGGGUGAUUCGGUGAUCCUAUGCUGCCUAGAAAAGCAUCGGCGCGAGGUCCCAGUCCGCCCGUACCCCAAACCGACACAGGUGAUCAGGUAGAGAAUACUAAGGCGAUCGAGAGAAUCAUGGUUAAGGAACUCGGCAAAAUGCCCCCGUAACUUCGGAAGAAGGGGGGCCUGCCCCGUGAUGAGAACUUGCUUCUCUGAUGCGGGUGUGGGCCGCAGAGACCAGGGGGAAGCGACUGUUUACUAAAAACACAGGUCCGUGCGAAGUCGCAAGACGAUGUAUACGGACUGACUCCUGCCCGGUGCUGGAAGGUUAAGAGGACUGGUUAGCCCUUGUGGCGAAGCUGAGAAUUUAAGCCCCAGUAAACGGCGGUGGUAACUAUAACCAUCCUAAGGUAGCGAAAUUCCUUGUCGGGUAAGUUCCGACCUGCACGAAUGGAGUAACGACUUCCCCGCUGUCUCAACCAUGAACUCGGCGAAAUUGCAGUACGAGUAAAGAUGCUCGUUACGCGCAGCAGGACGGAAAGACCCCGAGACCUUUACUAUAGUUUGGUAUUGGUGUUCGGUGCAGCUUGUGUAGGAUAGGUGGGAGACUGUGAAGCUUGGACGCUAGUUCAGGUGGAGUCAUCGUUGAAAUACCACUCUGGCUGUACCGGUCACCUAACUUCGGACCAUGAUCUGGUUCAGGGACAGUGCCUGAUGGGUAGUUUAACUGGGGCGGUUGCCUCCUAAAAUGUAACGGAGGCGCCCAAAGGUUCCCUCAGCCUGGUUGGCAAUCAGGUGUCGAGUGUAAGUGCACAAGGGAGCUUGACUGUGAGAGUGACAGCUCGAGCAGGGACGAAAGUCGGGACUAGUGAUCCGGCGGCACCUCGUGGAAGGGCCGUCGCUCAACGGAUAAAAGGUACCUCGGGGAUAACAGGCUGAUCUUGCCCAAGAGUCCAUAUCGACGGCAUGGUUUGGCACCUCGAUGUCGGCUCGUCGCAUCCUGGGGCUGGAGUAGGUCCCAAGGGUUGGGCUGUUCGCCCAUUAAAGCGGUACGCGAGCUGGGUUUAGAACGUCGUGAGACAGUUCGGUCCCUAUCCGCUGCGCGCGUUGGAAAUUUGAGAAGGGCUGUCCUUAGUACGAGAGGACCGGGACGGACGAACCUCUGGUGUGUCAGUUGUACUGCCAAGUGCAUCGCUGAUUAGCUACGUUUGGAAGGGAUAACCGCUGAAAGCAUCUAAGCGGGAAGCCUGCUUCGAGAUGAGAUUUCCAUGCACCUUUGUGUGUGAGAGGCCCCCAGCUAGACCACUGGGUUGAUAGGCAGGAUGUGGAAGCAAGGACUGAAGACUUGUGCAGCUGACCUGUACUAAUAGGCCGAUGGCUUACAACA